This 497-nucleotide ribosomal RNA is filed under the name uncultured bacterium. RNAcentral's name for it is "partial 16S ribosomal RNA". It matches the Rfam family "Bacterial small subunit ribosomal RNA", at positions 28 to 507 of the family's 1533-position model. The record is from RNAcentral.
GAUGAACGCUGGCGGCGUGCCUAAUACAUGCAAGUCGAGCGAACGGACGAGAAGCUUGCUUCUCUGAUGUUAGCGGCGGACGGGUGAGUGACACGUGGAUAACCUACCUAUAAGACUGGGAUAACUUCGGGAAACCGUAGCUAAUACCGGAUAAUAUUUUGAACCGCAUGGUUCAAAAGUGAAAGACGGUCUUGCUGUCACUUAUAGAUGGAUCCGCGCUGCAUUAGCUAGUUGGUAAGGUAACGGCUUACCAAGGCAACGAUGCAUAGCCGACCUGAGAGGGGGAUCGGCCACACUAGAGCUGGAACACGGUCCAGACUCCUACGGGACGCAGCAGUAGGGAAUCUUCCGCAAAAGGCGAAAGCCUGACGGAGCAACGCCGCGUGAGUGAUGAAGGUCUUCCGAUCGUAAAACUCUGUUAUGAGUGAAGAACAUAUGUGUAAGUAACUGUACACAUCGUGACGGUACCUAAUCAGAAAGCCACGGCUAACUACGUG